This 407-nucleotide ribosomal RNA is filed under the name uncultured bacterium. Its description in RNAcentral is "partial 16S ribosomal RNA". It matches the Rfam family "Bacterial small subunit ribosomal RNA", at positions 28 to 526 of the family's 1533-position model. The record is from RNAcentral.
GACGAACGCUGGCGGCGUGCCUAAUACAUGCAAGUAGAACGCAGUUGCGAACGGGUGAGUAACGCGUAGGUAACUGCCUCAUAGCGGGGGAUAACUAUUGGAAACGAUAGCUAAUACCGCAUACUGUGAGAUGGACCUGCGUUGUAUUGGCUAGUUGGUGAGGGAAAGGCUCACCAAGGCGACGAUACAUAGCCAACCUGAGAGGGUGAGCGGACAAACUGGGAAAGGUACACGACCCAGAGUCCUACGGGAGGCAGCAGUAGGGAAUCUUCGGCAAGUGACGGAAGUCUGACCGAGCAACGCCGCGUGAGUGAAGGAGGUUUUCGGAUCGUAAAGCUCUGUUGUUAGAGGAGCGAUAACUAACCAGAAAGGGACGGCUAACUACGUGCCAGCAGCCGCGGUAAUAC